Molecule: long non-coding RNA, 1831 nt
Filed under: Homo sapiens (human)
Lineage: Eukaryota; Metazoa; Chordata; Mammalia; Primates; Hominidae
Description: non-protein coding LINC02343:17
Source: RNAcentral
UGGAAACACAAAAAUGCAGGCCCCACCCAGACCUGCUGAAUCAGAAUGUGCAUCUUGUAAGAUCCCCAAGUGAUUCAUAUGCACUUUGCACACUUUGCAUUUGAGAAGCAGCUGCUCUAAAUGAUCUUCUGAUAUAAACGGGGCAGUCAUUAUUGCCUCAGGAAUUGAAGCAGAAAUACAAACCCACCCCCACCCUGCCCCAAAUUACCUUUCUCACUAGUAUCAGAACAUCAGUUAGAGAUUCACGCUUUUAGAUCAUCGAUCCUCUUCUUUUGUCUAAACAGGUCUAUUUUUUAUUAAAAUUCAAAUAUUCCCAGCCAGGCGCAGUGGUUCACGCCUGUAAUCCUAGCACUUUGGGAAGCCAAGGCAGGCGGAUCACCUGAGAUGAGGAGUUCGAGACCAGCCUGGCCAACACGGAGAAACUCUGUCUCUACUAAAAAUACAAAAAUUAGCUGGUUGUGGUGGUGCACACCUGUACUCCCAGCUACUCAGGAGGCUGAGGCAGGAGAAUCACUUGAACCUGGGAGGCAGAGGUUGCAGUGAGCCGAGAUAGUGCCACUGCACUCCAGCCUGGGUGACAGAGCAGGACUCCAUCUCAAAAAAUAAUAAUAAUAAAAAAAUUCGUAUGUUCCUUGUGAGGGAGAACAUAUGGGAUCCCUCAGUAACAAGGUUAAAAAAUUUUUUUAUUGAGCUCAUAUUAGUUGCCACAUAUCCGAGAUACUUGGGGUAAAUGUAUUUGGUGUAAACGAAUUACUUUUCCCUGGAGACAAGAAAGCCAAGUGUUAAGAGAACAGCAGCCUUCUUUUUGGGGGAAAGGAUUAUUCAAGGGACAGAAGAGAGGGAACAUCCAAGACAAACAAGUAUGACCUUCCACUCCAUCCUGAAGAAACUUGUCUCUCAGAGCUUUCCAAGUUGUGGAGAUGAUGAUUCCAUUUCCAUUCAAAAUCAUCCUCUGUCAUUUCAACUUAACGGGAAAAACCAAUGGCAUUUUGAAGACAAGAUGUCUGGGUGCAUGUUUAUUUUUAGAAGGAGACAGACCACAGCACAUUCAUUCUGCAAGAAAGAAGCAAGUCCUGGCUCUGCAUACUGAAUCAGUGAGCAAUACCUCAAAAGUGGAAAGAUUAAACUCUCCAAAGAAUGGGGGCAGUGGCCUCAGCUUAUUUAUUUUCUCCCAGGAAACAGCACAGCACUGGGUAUGCCAGAACUGCAGAAGCAGCACCAUAAUAAACAAACUGUCUUCUCAAGCCUUCUGACUCUGUUUGGGUACCCAUGAAUGAAUAGUAUCUAUUUCAAUUCCUAAAAUGUAUGAUUCAUGAUGACUUGUUUGUAUUUGCCUUUCAUUUUCACUGUAACUGAAUGAGACCAUCCUUCAGGUACUAAGGUAGAAUCAUCUUUGUGACUUAAUAAUGGUAAUAAUCACAGAGACCAAGUCAUUACUCUCUGCCAGGUAUUGUGACACAUGCUUUUGAAGUUGGGAGACAAUGCUCCAUGGGUCACUCACAUUGUUGCAAGUGAUUCCAGCAGAGGCAUUGACUGUCUUUAUUCUGGAUUAUUUUUUUCAAAAUGUUUGUACACCAAACAGCUUUGUGAGAUUGAUACAGUGUCUCCCUCCAGAGCUAGGAGUGUAUAUGCUUACUGUCCAGUACAAUAAACAUAAUAUCUCACUCUGGAGGAAUGGACAGUAUGGUUACCACCUGUUACAAAAUAUUCAGUUUUCCUAAGUUCAGCAUUCUUCUGUAACAGAGCCCAUCAUGUGGACAGGUAUUUCUUGGCCUUUUUGUGUUGCCCUGCGGGAACUGGGACUUGGGGACUAGUACAAGAGAAUGCUCAU